UAGGGAAUCUUCGGCAAUGGACGAAAGUCUGACCGAGCAACGCCGCGUGAGUGAAGAAGGUUUUCGGAUCGUAAAACUCUGUUGUUAGAGAAGAACAAGGACGUUAGUAACUGAACGUCCCCUGACGGUAUCUAACCAGAAAGCCACGGCUAACUACGUGCCAGCAGCCGCGGUAAUACGUAGGUGGCAAGCGUUGUCCGGAUUUAUUGGGCGUAAAGCGAGCGCAGGCGGUUUCUUAAGUCUGAUGUGAAAGCCCCCGGCUCAAGCGGGGAGGGUCAUUGGAAACUGGGGGACUUGAGUGCAGAAGAGGAGAGUGGAAUUCCAUGUGUAGCGGUGAAAUGCGUAGAUAUAUGGAGGAACACCAGUGGCGAAGGCGGCUCUCUGGUCUGUAACUGACGCUGAGGAUCGAAAGCAUGGGGGGCAAACAGG
This 429-nucleotide ribosomal RNA is filed under the name Gemmatimonadota bacterium. RNAcentral describes it as "Gemmatimonadetes bacterium partial 16S ribosomal RNA". It matches the Rfam family "Bacterial small subunit ribosomal RNA", at positions 355 to 776 of the family's 1533-position model. The record is from RNAcentral. Lineage: Bacteria; Pseudomonadati; Gemmatimonadota.